Molecule: long non-coding RNA, 661 nt
Filed under: Trifolium pratense (red clover)
Lineage: Eukaryota; Viridiplantae; Streptophyta; Magnoliopsida; Fabales; Fabaceae
Description: long non-coding RNA (TPRA_LNC009618)
Source: RNAcentral
UCUAUAACUCAAGUCUUGAAAAGCUUGACCCUCUUUUUCGCGUUUUGCAUCCUUGUCAUUCUCGGACUCUUUUGUCAAUCAUCAAAACAAAAAUAUUCCUGUCAAGGCAUAUAUUCACAUUCUCCCCCUUUUUGAUGAUGACAAACAUCUCUUGGUGGGAUUUGCUCAAUAAAGGGGUUAGGAUAAAAUUAAUCAAUAAUAAAGUAUAUAUUAGAGAUAAGCGCAAAAUAUUCUCCCCCUUUCUAUAUGCAAACAUUUACAAACUACUCCCCCUGAAACAUGCAAAUCACACAACUCUCCCCCUUUUGGCAUUAUCAAAAAGCGGGAAAGAAAUAAUCAUGGCAAGACAUAUAUUCACGAAAAAUAAAUAAAUAAAAAGGAUAGUAAAGUGAAAAGAGUAAAACAUUUUUGCUUUCUUGAAUUUGCAAUUUCUUUUUGGAGAAUUUUCAAUAACAUCACCUUGCGAUGCAUAAACUUUUUUUUUUUUUGUGAUAAAAAGGACAACUCAUUUUUCUCCCAUGCCAUGUGCUUUGAAUAGCCAAUAAAGAUAUACGAUUUGAGUUCUUGGGCUCCAAGCACACCUACUACAAAAAUCAAAUUUUGGCUUUUGGUACCCAAAUCAUUUUGGGUCCUUGAGAGUUAGCUUUAGGCAAAGUGCCAU